This 456-nucleotide ribosomal RNA is filed under the name Montivipera raddei (Caucasus viper). RNAcentral's name for it is "partial 12S ribosomal RNA". The record is from RNAcentral. Lineage: Eukaryota; Metazoa; Chordata; Lepidosauria; Squamata; Viperidae.
CCUACUAUACCUAGCCACAACACACAAUUAAAGUACCAAUUGUUCGCCAAACAACUACGAGUAGUAACUUAAAACUUAAAAGACUUGACGGUGCUUCAUCACAACCUAGAGGAGCCUGUCCAAUAACCGAUAACCCACGAUUAACCCCACCCCCUCUCGCCAACAGUCUAUAUACCACCGUCGCAAGCUUACCCUGUAAAAGAAACAAAGUAGGCUAAAAAGUUCUACACUAAAACGACAGGUCGAGGUGUAACUUAUGAGGGGGCAAAGAUGGGCUACACUCUCUUAUCAGAGAACACGAACAACACUACGAACACAGUGAUCGAAGGAGGAUUUAGCAGUAAGAUAGGAACAAAAUACCUAACUGAACAUAACGCAAUGAAGUGCGUACACACCGCCCGUCAUCCCUGCCCACACCACAUUAACCUUCAUAAACCAACAAUAAGCACUUAACCA